GACGUAGGGUGCAAGCGUUGUCCGGAUUUACUGGGCGUAAAGGGCGCGUAGGCGGUCUGUUAAGUGGGAAGUGAAAUCUCCAGGGCUCAACCCGGAAACUGCUUUCUAUACUGGCAGGCUGGAGGGAUGCAGAGGUGUGUGGAAUUCCUGGUGAAGCGGUGAAAUGCGUAGAUAUCAGGAGGAACACCGGUGGCGAAGGCGGCUCUCUGGACGGUGACUGACGCUGAGACGCGAAAGCGUGGGGAGCAAACAGG
RNAcentral lists this ribosomal RNA (254 nucleotides) under uncultured bacterium. Its description in RNAcentral is "partial 16S ribosomal RNA". It matches the Rfam family "Bacterial small subunit ribosomal RNA", at positions 524 to 776 of the family's 1533-position model. The record is from RNAcentral.